Molecule: non-coding RNA, 393 nt
Organism: Vicia faba (fava bean)
Lineage: Eukaryota; Viridiplantae; Streptophyta; Magnoliopsida; Fabales; Fabaceae
Source: the annotation of a GenBank genome assembly
GAUAUUGAUAUUUAUGUUAUUUUUCGUUACAACACUCAAGUCAUAUUAGAAGAUAGGAUUCUCUUUUUCAAACAUAUCCAACUUUCCAACAAGAUUCUCCACCAAACAAAAAGACACCACAAAACGAUACCUCUUGCAUGCGCCCAACACCAAAAGUGUACGAAAUUAUGGUCUUUUCAAGACACAAAAGUGAAAAAGAGGUCCAAAACAACUAAGCACGACACCAAAAGAAACAAACUAGAAUAUGAAACAUCAUUGAUUGAACAACGACAACAAUUUUCAAAUUUCAUCCAAAUUGAAACCCCGGUGAAAAAGAAUCCAGUAAUGGCACAACAACAGAGAAAUCUUAAAAAGAUGAAACUAAAGACUAACAACAAUUCUAAAUUACAUUGA